Peromyscus californicus insignis is the source of this 447-nucleotide long non-coding RNA. RefSeq lists it as uncharacterized. Lineage: Eukaryota; Metazoa; Chordata; Mammalia; Rodentia; Cricetidae. The transcript is spliced from 3 exons. The record is from RefSeq and is a predicted model, not a curated record.
UCCAAAAAGAACAGGGAAUUGGCUGUAAGACCACUUCUUAUGAGUGCCAGAAGUCAUACCCAAAAGUCUCAUCAGCAUGACGGCCAAAACAUGACCAGAACAAGUCCAGCACCAAUGGACAUAUUGUUGUGGACGGGGAAGCUCAGGAGGCCUCAUCCCUACAUAAAGAGCUAAAGGCAGCUAAGGAAUUCUGAGGGUAGAAAAAAAGUCUUCCCACUGGUUAUCCAAUACCAAGAGAUUCCCUGGAAGUGAAGAUUGGAAUCACCUUUCUGGGGCCCACACUCCAAACAGGUGCAUAUGGCGAUAUCCUAAGAACGCACAACAGGCAGAAAUUUAGAGAUGAGAGGGAUGGAGAAUUUGGAUCCCUGACCACAAGGUAGGAAAUUUAGAGAUGAGAGGGAUGGGGAAUUUGGAUCACUGACCACAAGGUAGGAAAUUUAGAGAUGA